GGACUAUGGAGGGGUAGAGAGGGGGAAGAGAAAAACCCUUUUAUUCUUUUUAUUGAAAGAAGGGGUGGUGUAGGUUUUUUGUGGAGCUGUUUGCUUCGUUUUUGCUUGGAAAAAUAAAGGGAAUUUUUGAGGCUGUUGUGUUUCUUUAUAGAGUGCAACUAAAGCCUUGUUGUGUUGUGUGGUUCUCUUUUCAAGUUGGUUUUGCAGGAAGAGAGAGAUCCUUUCUUGGUGCUGCUGGUACUCAUUCAUCUCUCUCUCUAGCCCUAGGAUACAGGGAGAUAGCAUUUGUGGUUCAGAAGCUGAGUUGUUGGGCUUUGGAUUGAUGAGAAAGUUGGGUUCCUUUUGCUUGUCUAUGGAAAUGAGGUUUUGAUUGAUGAUGGUAGCAGUAGAAAUGAGAGAGUGUGGUAGAAGCUGGAGAUUCAUUCCAUUUCAUGGAUGCCUUUGUUCUGGCCUUCAUGCAGCUCUAGGGGGAUAACCAUGGAGGAAUUUUCUGGGUCUGCUUGGCAGAAGUCUGAUAAUUCCAGGGGAUUAAAUACCUCCAGAGUCUCAGAUUGGAAUCGAAGACCUGCAACGCGAUAUUCUGUGUUUAGAAAGGAGACUGAUAGGGUUGUGCUGGCGCGCCAUAACCCCAAAAACCAGGUUAGUUUUUUUGGGGUUUACAAGGAUGAAGCUGCAGUUGACCCUUUUGCCCGAACUUUAGAAUGGGGUGAUGUUAGCUUGAGGCAGUGGUUGGACAAACCUGAAAGAUCCAUUGAUGAAUUUGAAUGUUUACAUAUAUUUAGGCAAAUAGUUGAGAUUGUAAAUGUGGCACAUUCUCAAGGAAUUGUUGUUCAUAAUGUCCGGCCUUCUUGCUUCCUAAUGACAUCAUUUAAUCAUGUGUCUUUCAUUGAGUCUGCUUCUUGUUCCGAUUCUGGGUCGGAUUCUUUAGAAGACGGACUGAAUAGCCAAACCUUGGAGGUUAAAAAUUCAUCAUCUCCCUUGCCUAAUGACAUGUUUCAGCACAGUAGUAGGUUAGGAAGUGAAGCUUUUCAGCCUGGAUCUACUCCAAAGAAUGCUUUAUCAGAAGCUAGUUGCAUUCAAUCAAGCUCAGUUCAUGCCACCCAUGUGCCAUUGGGGGAGGAGACUGAAGAAGAUAAAAUCUGUGAUAGGAGGAACGCUGAACAAGAAGAAGAAGAAAGGAAGCAACCUUUUCCAAUGAAGCAGAUAUUGCUUAUGGAGACCAGUUGGUACUCUAGUCCUGAAGAGGUUGCUUGUUCACCAAGCACUUGUGCUUCAGACAUCUACAGAUUAGGAGUUCUUCUAUUUGAGUUGUUCUGCCCAUUCAGCUCAAGAGAAGACAAGAGCAGAACUAUGUCUAGUCUGAGGCAUCGGAUUCUUCCUCCUCAAUUGUUACUGAAGUGGCCAAAAGAAGCUUCAUUUUGCCUAUGGUUAUUGCACCCAGAGCCUAGUAGUCGGCCAAAAAUGGGGUGAAUAUGCAUUUCCACAUACACUAUUUGCAAUUUUUUUUUUCUCUUUUUACAUUUUAGCAGUAGCAUGUGUUCUUGUUUGUGUGCAUUUGUACUUACAGUUUCAAUUAAAUGUUUAAAUGGAUAUAGCAUAAUUCAAAUUAGUAGUUAUCUCAUAGAUGAUUGUGCAAGAAACUGCCAUGCCUUUCAAUUGAAGAUGGGAACCACAUGCAUUAAUAGAGCUUAUUUUAGGACUUCAAAUGUAACUACUCUUGUCUUUAUGUAACCAUCUACAAAUAUAAGAUUUUAAUGUGACUUCAUUGUGCAUGGCACUGCAAUGACCCUAGUCUUUUCUUGCCUCGUGCAAAUUAUAAUUUUCAACAUCAACAAGUAAAGCCAUGUUAAUCCUUUUAAAUCACAUGCAAUCAUUUCUAUUUCAGAUUUAAGUCAAUUUUGUGCCCUUCCAGAUGUGAUCUUUAAUUUUCUGCUUCCAUUCAUUUAUCUUCAUCAUGUAAAGAAGCUUGCUUCUGAGACACAAAAGCAUUAUUGUUAAUUUGUAUUUAAAUUAUAUGAAAUCAAGGUUUAAUGGUCUUAACUCUUUUCAUAUCUUGUGUGACAGUGAGUUGUUACUGAGUGAGUUUCUUAAUGAACCAAGAGAGAAUUUAGAAGAACGUGAAGCAGCAAUACAACUUAGAGAGAGAAUAGAGGAGCAGGAGUUGUUGCUGGAAUUCCUUCUGUUGAUACAACAAAGAAAACAGGAAGCUGCUGAUAAGUUACAAGAUACUGUUUCUCUCCUGUGUUCCGAUAUUGAAGAAGUUAUGGCGCACCGAACAUUUCUUAAGAAAAAGGGCGGCUCAGGCCUAGAAAGACCAAAGGAUGAUAAUUUUGCAUCAAAUCUCCCUCAAUUGAGUCUUGUUGAUAAUGAUGAGUCUUCUAGCUUGGGUAAUAGAAAACGAUUCCGACCAGGCAUUCAGAUUCUUGAUGUAGAGGAAUGUGAUGAUAAUCUAGACGAUGGUCAGAACUCAGAUAUGCUCACAGAAACUCAAGAAAGUCUACUCUUCAAAAGUUCACGAUUGAUGAAGAACUUUAAGAAAGUAGAGUCGGCAUAUUUUUUGACAAGAUGCAGGCCAGCAAGGCCAUCAGGGAAACUUUGCACUAGACAUUCACCAAUGAGUAGUGAUGGGAGAGGUUCUAUUGUUGUUACUGAAAGGAGCUCCAUUAAUAACUUAGCACCAAAAGAGCUGCACGUUGAGAGUAGAAGAAGUGGAUGGAUAAGUCCAUUUCUCGAGGGUUUUUGCAAGUAUUUAUCUUUCAGUAAGUUAAAAGUUAAGGCUGAUUUGAAACAAGGCGAUUUGUUAAACUCUUCGAACCUAGUGUGCUCCCUUAGUUUUGAUCGUGAUGGACAACUUUUUGCUACAGCGGGUGUUAAUAAGAAGAUAAAAGUAUUUGAAUGUGAUACGAUUAUAAAUGAAAAUCGUGAUAUCCACUAUCCUGUUGUCGAGAUGGCUAGCAGGUCAAAACUAAGUAGCGUAUGCUGGAACAGUUACAUUAAAAGCCAGAUUGCUUCUAGUAACUUUGAAGGUGUGGUGCAGGUGUGGGAUGUCACACGAAGUCAAGUACUAACAGAAAUGAGAGAACAUGAGAGGCGUGUAUGGUCCAUUGACAUUUCAUCAGCAGAUCCGACAAUGUUGGCUAGUGGGAGUGAUGAUUGUUCUGUUAAGCUAUGGAAUAUCGAUCAGGCAAUUCUAUUUUUGCACUUGGUGGAUGUCAGCUUUGAAACUAAACGUACUAAUGUCUUUUAGUUUGUUAUUGUUUAUUUUUAAACCAGAUGUAUGAUAAGUUGUUCCUCUUACAUGGGUUGCUACUGCAGGGAGUAAGUAUUGGUACAAUCAGAACAAAGGCCAAUGUCUGCUCUGUUCAAUUUCCCUUGGAUUCUAGCCGGUCUCUUGCAUUUGGUUCAGCAGAUCAUAGAAUUUAUUACUAUGAUCUUCGUAACUCAAAAGUUCCUUUAUGCACAUUGGUUGGACAUAAUAAAACUGUGAGCUAUGUGAGGUUUGUAGAUCCGACAAAUCUUGUUUCUGCAUCCACAGAUAGCACAUUAAAGCUCUGGGAUUUGUCAAUGUGCACAUCUCGUGUUAUUGAUACACCCCUUCAAUCGUUCAUGGGCCACAUGAACGUUAAGAACUUUGUGGGUUUGUCAGUAUCAGAUGGUUACAUUGCAACUGGCUCAGAAACAAAUGAGGUUUUCAUCUACCAUAAAGCUUUCCCCAUGCCAGCAUUGUCAUUCAAGUUCAACAACAGCGAUCUGCUUUCAGGUCAAGAAAUUGAUGAUCCUGCACAGUUUAUUUCUUCUGUCUGCUGGCGAGCCCAGUCCUCUACCUUAGUUGCUGCAAAUUCUACUGGGAAUAUCAAAAUUUUGGAGAUGGUUUAAUUUGGUCUAUGCUCUUCAACCCACAAAUGAAAUUUUAUCAAAAGAAACAAGACAGUGAUGGUGUUUGGGCAGAAACAGUUGAAAUCAGGAUAACAAUCUUUGCACCAUAGGAAAUUGUGAAACUAAAGGAUAUGGGAACUCGAGGGUUGCAAUUAAAAUUACAACUUUUGGGAUUAGAUCAUAGAGGAUGCAAUUAAAGCAAUGAGAUAAUGCUCAGGAUCCAAUGCACUGUAGAUAAAAUUCAGGGGAAGAAAAGGAAAAAAAGGAGCCUAAAUUUAUUUUUCCCCUUGUAUAUUUUUGCAAUGCUUAUAGUUAAAUCAUUUUUUCACAAGGGGCAGCGAUCUUUACCUCUUUCUUGACGUGUUCACUGGCUUAUCUCCUGCUUUAAAGAUGCGUUCUUCAUUCACUUGUUGUUGCUGUUGGAGCCUAUAUGGAAAUCCUACUCUUUAGAUUUUCACUUAUAAGUUCAAGUUGGAGCUUUUGAGUUAAAUAGUUAAUUGAUAUCAUUGUUUUAUUAAUUAAAUUUGUUCAUGUGUCUAAUGAGCAUAUAUGAUAUUAAAAAUCUAUUAUUCUAACUCUCACUGAUAAGCUAAAAGCUUAAAACUUUUGCAGUGGGAGGAGGGGAAGUAAGGUC
RNAcentral lists this unclassified non-coding RNA (4510 nucleotides) under Hevea brasiliensis (rubber tree). Lineage: Eukaryota; Viridiplantae; Streptophyta; Magnoliopsida; Malpighiales; Euphorbiaceae. The record is from RNAcentral.